RNAcentral lists this transfer RNA (68 nucleotides) under Neoglyphea inopinata. RNAcentral describes it as "tRNA-Met". Lineage: Eukaryota; Metazoa; Arthropoda; Malacostraca; Decapoda; Glypheidae. The record is from RNAcentral.
UAAAAGAUAAGCUAAUUAAGCUAGUGGGUUCAUACCCCGCCUAUGUAAGUUUACCCUUCCUCUUUUUA